Molecule: long non-coding RNA, 845 nt
Organism: Dreissena polymorpha
Lineage: Eukaryota; Metazoa; Mollusca; Bivalvia; Myida; Dreissenidae
Exons: 3
Source: RefSeq, a predicted model, not a curated record
GUAUCCAUUCAUCACUUUUUUCGUUCAACUGUGGAAUGUUUGAAUUUGAACACUAUGUACUUUCUUUUCAGACGCACAACAACAACCAUGUGUGAAUGAUGAGAUCUCGUCCAUCACAUCAGUUGAACAAAGUUGGAAAUUCGCGAAACAGCGCAUGUGAGGCCCAGUCAGAUGAGCCAGUAAGAAAAAAAGAUAUAGUGUUCCACUGCAUUGUUCCCUAGCUGUAGAGUUGUUGGAGAAAACCCUGUAUCGGACUGUGCACAACGUCAUCCACUUCCUGUGGCUUAGUAAGUUGUUCAGGCAGUGGCACCUGCUUAUCUAUGCAGAAGUUGUGCAGGCCCAUUUAUGCAGCCACUGCUUGACAGCACUCAUCGAGUCUCGUGAAUAAACAACCUCCAGUUUUAUGUAGACACCUGUCGAUAGAGAAUAACAAUUAAUAUUAACUAGUGAUUUAAUUACAAUAUCCAAUUUAUUAUCAAUACUUAUGAUUAUUAUGCAUUUUAUUUAAUUGAUGAACAUCUUCAGAUAUUAAUUAAAUUUAAGACUAAAAUGGGUAAAGAAAUAAAUUUAUAAAACAAAAUUUGCAAUAAUCUACAGCAUCCAUUUUUAUCAACACAUGCACGUGCAUAUGAAAGCAACUUUAAAAUCUGUAUCUGUAUGUUUUUUAACUACAUGUGUCUCCUUCACUAGCCAUAGUCCCUCUAAUGGUAUAUCCAUAGAAGCACAUUAUUUAUUGUCAUACCUUCAAACCACGGACAAAGACAGAGGCGUCAUGUGUGUUGACCCAAGCCAUUUUGACACAAUCUCAAUGAACCUGCAAAUAAACUAUACUUUACUAUGUGAAA